UUAAACGCCGCUAUUUACCAGCGUUUUACAUUAAACGCGGCUAUUUACCAGUCUUUAACGGCGUUUACAUUGUGAAACGCCACAAAAUAGUUUUACAAAGUUUGUAACAGUCAUUAUAUUUAGUGGCGCUUGUUUUAGUAGACACCACUAGUAGAUAACCUUUAGUGGCGUUGCUGUAGGAAAGCGCAUAUACAACCUUUAGUGACGUUUGAAGUUGCAAACGCCAUUAAGUGCCCCUAAAUUCCAACUAGCCCCUCCUUUCUGUUUACCAGAAACAUUCGGUCAAAAGUAUUUUCUCAUAAACAAUUCUUCCUCCAUCGAGCCCAUUUUCUCCGUUCGAUCUCCUUCUUCGUCUGUGAGUAUUCCGUUCAGUUUCCUUUUCUAGUGGUGGCUCUUCCGUUAGGUUUCCUUCUCCACUGGUUACUUUUCCGUUGGGUUUUCUUGUUUGGUGGUCUUAUUUCUCGUUAGGUUUCCUUUCUCAGCCGAUGGGUUCAAGCUCAGUCUCUGCUGUUUCUCCGUCGAUUUCCUUAUUCGGUAAGACCUUUCCUUGUUCUUUUUCGGUUUUAGGGUUUUAAUGUAAAUUGAGGUUUUUAAAUUUUUGUUGGUUAAAAUGAUUAUGGAUUUAAUUUUUGUUCAUGCAUUCUAUUGAUUUUGGUGGUUUGUAUCAAUUAUUAAAGUGUGCAUCAAAUUUUCUCUACUUUUCAUUGAAACACUGUUUAACGGGAGUGAAGGAUAAAACAAAACAAAAGGUAACAUGAAAAUUGUGCGAUUCAAUAGUUGUUUGGUAGAUCAUAGUGAAAUUGGGAGGAAGGGAAAGAAUCUGGGUUAAGUAAUUAUUGACUUGGGUUUUAAGUUAAUGCAAUUUUAUGAUUUGGAUUAUUUAAUUACAAAUUCUUUUAAAUUUUUUUUUCAUGCCGUUUUCUUGCAGUAGUCCAUCCUUGUCAUAUUAACAUUUGUCUAUUACCCAGGUCAGACUUGUUAGUAGCCUUCCCAAAUCCUGAUUAAUAUAAAACUAGUAUUAAAAGAAUGUUCAUAAGGACAGUUGAUGGCUAAUACUUGGUCAUUUCCUUUUUGGUACAUGAUUUUUUUUCUCCAAGUGUGAAAGUCUUUAGAUGUUAGAGGAUUUUAACAAGGUUACGUAUUAAUUUCAAGUUAUAUAUUCAAAUUAAAUCUGACAUGGAAGCCAUAAUUAACUAGUUUUAUUGCUCAAUAUCCCAGUUGUGUUUGAAUAUUGAAGUUUUUUGUGAGUUAUUUCUAGUAACAUUGUUUGUUAACAAGAAAACAAAAAAUGGCACUGUCCAUCAACAAUGGAACAUGUACCAUGGUGUUCUUGGACUUUGUGAAUUAUUUGUUAGAUUCUGGUGUUCAGUGGGGAUCAGCACCUUCAAUAAAAGUAAAGAAUUUGUGAUUUCAUGAUUGGUUAUCAAUUUUUUCCCUUUCAGUUAGCUUAGCAAGCAUUAAUAACAUGAAUUACUCGUAUCUUCGAGGUGUGAGAGAUGCAGCUAUUGAGUUAUUACAUUCUUUGGUAACUUUACAUGCUGAGGUACUUACCACCAUAUUAUGUGUGGCCAUAUGAACUUAAUUUUUUUUCAUUCUAAGUUUUUGUGAAUUUCACUAUUGUUUGUGGGUUUUAUCUGCAUAAGUGAUCAUUUUGAUUUUGUUUUUUUUUACGAUCUGUCAGAAAGCUCUUUAGUAUUUGAAUUUUGAAGCAUCAUCUCUAUUGACCUGUUUAAGUAAACUAUUUUGGUAGUGAACUCAAUAAUUUUUCUACUUAAGUGACUAAUUCCGCAUCUAGGUCUUUGUUGGUGCUAAGCGCCUCAGGACAAAACACUUGGCAUUCUUGUGGAAGGUCUGAUUGGUACUUUUAUUAGCCUUUUACUAUUGUCCACUAACAUGAUGGGAAGUGAAACUUUUCUAGUAACUAAUAUCUUUGCUUUGUGAUUUUUACAUUCUGUGUUAGAACUUGGAACACAUUGUUAUGGUUUUUAAGCACUAGAUUCUGUUCUUCUCAUGGAUCACUAUGUACUCCUUUUAGGUGCAUGCAUAUAUUUCAUUAGAUUCAUUCUACUUAUAAUAGUAUCUAAGUUAAUGCUCUUUUGGGCUCUGCCUUAUAAUGGCUACUUGCAUCAUGGAAAGUGGUUUACAUUGACAUUAAAUAUGUAUAAAUGUUGCAGAGUUGUUAAGCCAGCUGAAGGAGUCUUUGUCUCAGUGAAAAAACCUCCUCCAAUGAAAACAUGGAAGGUUUUAUUCUGAAUUGUUAUAUGAAACCAAUUUUGGUUUUGGUAGAUGAAUUUAAUUCAGAAUAAGGUUAAUGAGAAGUUAUUCCCAUGCAAGCUAUCCAGCAAUAAUACCUAGUUAAUCGAGGAAGCUGUAGAGUUGGCUGUCAAAACUUGGGGCAAGCAAUCUUUAAGUGAGCUAACAGCUGAAGAGCGCCUGUCUUAUUCUUGUGAAAAGGUGUACUAUAGACUCAAGAAUUUCCUGCACGUAUAUAUGACUUGUUCACUUUUGAAUCUCCUUGUUCCUGUUAAGAAUUAUUGAAUCCUUUGAUAAAUUACCAAAUAGCAUGUAUCAGAUGCACUACCAAACAGUAAUUAUUUUACUUUUUUAUUUACACUGACCUACACAGGAUGAAAUUAGAGGCAAGCUGCGAAGUGCGUUUUUAGAAAUUGUAAAGGAAUAUAAGGUCUACACUGAAGAAGAGAGGAACAGGUUGUGGCAGCUGGUGGCCUUUAUGUGGUAGGGACAGAACAUCAUGAGUCAAGAGAAAUAGACAAUCAGGUUAAUUUGAAAUACAUUUAUAAAAUUUAAACUGGCCCAGGUUAAUUUAUACAAUAAGUUCAUGAUAAUUCUAUAAAAAAUAGAAUUAUCACAAGCCCAAUAGCUAAAAAAUAAGGUUCCUUGGAUGUUUACUUGUGUCAGCAUAUGUAAUCUAAUCAUAUUACUAGUUUAAUAUACAUACAUACAUACAUACAUGAUCUUGUUAAAGGAAUUCAAUAUUUUUUGUUUUUUUAUAGUAGGACUCUAGCUUUAGAUAGAUUCCUUUGUUAUUGAAUCAUAGGUACUUUUUAAGCUCAUGCAUUUUGAUUAUUAGGCUGUUAUGUUUACGUUUGAUGCUAAUGUGUUGCAGUUAUGAACCAUAAGAACUUUAUUGUGAUAAUUAUCCAAAUUUUACUUUUUUUUGCAUCAAUUUUCAAUGUACUUUCAGAUUUUCUUAAUGAAAUUUUAAGUUUCUUACAUUUUGCAUUCAAUUUCGAUUGAACUCAUGUGUUCUUCAAAUUUGUUUUGAAAUUCGCGGUUUUGACUUCUUUGUGGUUUUUUGAUCAGUUCUUGAUGAAUUUUAGCUUGUUUUGAGCCAAAUUUUUUGUUAGUUUCCUAACUAAUAGAUCUUUGAUUCUGGAAAAAACUAACUUCA
Molecule: non-coding RNA, 3412 nt
Organism: Durio zibethinus
Lineage: Eukaryota; Viridiplantae; Streptophyta; Magnoliopsida; Malvales; Malvaceae
Source: RefSeq, a predicted model, not a curated record